CAAUAGCGUAUAUUAAAGUUGUUGCAGUUAAAAAGCUCGUAGUUGAAUUUCUGAUAGAAGGGAGCGGUUCCGUAUUCUUACGGAUACUUGCUCGUCUUCCGUCAUCCUUGGGCUUAGUCUCGCUGAUAUUAACUUAUCGGCGUGUACGAUGCCCAUCGUUUACUGUGAAAAAAUUAGAGUGUUCAAAGCAGGCUUAUGCCGUUGAAUAUAUUAGCAUGGAAUAAUAAGAUAGGACUUUGGUACUAUUUUGUUGGUUUGCGCACCAAAGUAAUGAUUAAUAGGGACAGUUGGGGGUAUUCGUAUUCCGUUGUCAGAGGUGAAAUUCUUGGAUUUACGGAAGACGAACUACUGCGAAAGCAUUUACCAAGGAUGUUUUCAUUAA
This 382-nucleotide ribosomal RNA is filed under the name uncultured eukaryote. Its description in RNAcentral is "partial 18S ribosomal RNA". It matches the Rfam family "Eukaryotic small subunit ribosomal RNA", at positions 592 to 976 of the family's 1831-position model. The record is from RNAcentral.